Molecule: long non-coding RNA, 312 nt
Organism: Rhinichthys klamathensis goyatoka
Lineage: Eukaryota; Metazoa; Chordata; Actinopteri; Cypriniformes; Leuciscidae
Exons: 2
Source: RefSeq, a predicted model, not a curated record
GAUAGAGUGUUGGGGAAUUUCAUUUGACUCAUACAUGUCUCAUACAUGGGUCUGAAUAUAAGAUGCUGUAAUGCUAGAGAAAACCAGGCCUAAGGAUAUGAGAUGAACAGAAAAUUAGGCCUGAGGGGAGGUUAGAUAAGGACAGGAGAAGAAACUGGGUGAAAGGACAUGAAAAAGGCAGGUUGGUUAAGGACAGGAGAAGAAACUGGGUGAAAGGGCAUGGAAAAGUACCUGAAAAUCAUGUAUAAAGCCAUUUUUAAAAGAUACGCAUGCGCAAAGAAGGUUGCCCCAAUUAAAAAUAAAAUAACGAUG